RNAcentral lists this non-coding RNA (391 nucleotides) under Nicotiana tabacum (common tobacco). Its description in RNAcentral is "Bacterial large subunit ribosomal RNA". It matches the Rfam family "Bacterial large subunit ribosomal RNA", at positions 2103 to 2453 of the family's 2925-position model. Lineage: Eukaryota; Viridiplantae; Streptophyta; Magnoliopsida; Solanales; Solanaceae. The record is from Rfam by way of RNAcentral.
ACUUUAUGCAAGGCGGAGUUUGGUUUUUCUGGGGUGAUAGUGGAAAGUUGACAGCUAAGUCACCCUUACUGCCACUCUACAGAACCGUACAUGAGAUUAUCACCUCAUACGGCCUCCUUCCGGGAGCCCGAGCCAUCAGUGAGAUACUACUCAUGAAGUGCUAGAAUUCUAACCUUGUGUUAGGACCUAUGGGCCAAGGGACAGUCUCAGGUAGACAGUUUAUAUGGGGUGUAGGCCUCCCAAAAGGUAACCGAGGCUUGCAAAGUUUUCCUCGGGCCGGACGAAGAUUGGCCCAAGAGUGCAAAGGCAGAAGGGAGCUUAGCUGCAAGAUCCACCCGUCUAGCAGGGAUGUAAGUUGGCCUUAGUGAUCCGACGGUGCCAGUCGCUGAAA